CUGUUUAGUCUCCCCCCACCCCCCCUCUUCCUUUUCCACAGGCUUGAGAAAAAUUGUUUUCGCAGCAAACUAUUGCUUUUGUCCUGCAUCUGCACUCCAUGGAGGUUAAGCAUCAUCUGUAUGGUGACAAUAAGAACAGAUGGGUCGUAACUAGCUGGGUCGCUGUAUGGUGACAAUAAGAACAGGUGGGUCGUAACUAGCUGGGUCGCUGUAUGGUGACAAUAAGAACAGAUGGGUCGUAACUAGCUGGGUCGCUGUAUGGUGUUAUAAAGAACAGAUGGGUCGUAACUAGCUGUAUGGUUAUAAAGAACAGGUGGGUCGUAACUAGCUGUAUGGUGUUAUAAAGAACAGGUGGGUCGUAACUAGCUGUAUGGUGUUAUAAAGAACAGGUGGGUCGUAACUAGCUGUAUGGUGUUAUAAAGAACAGGUGGGUCGUAACUAGCUGUAUGGUGUUAUAAAGAACAGGUGGGUCGUAACUAGCUGUAUGGUGUUAUAAAGAACAGGUGGGUCGUAACUAGCUGUAUGGUGUUAUAAAGAACAGAUGGGUCGUAACUAGCUGUAUGGUGACAUCAUUAAGAACAGAUGGGUCGUAACUAGCUGUAUGGUGUUAUUAAGAACAGAUGGGUCGUAACUAGCUGUAUGGUGACAUCAUUAAGAACAGAUGGGUCGUAACUAGCUGUAUGGUGUUAUUAAGAACAGAUGGGUCGUAACUAGCUGUAUGGUGUUAUAAAGAACAGGUGGGUCGUAACUAGCUGUAUGGUGACAUUAAGAACAGAUGGGUCGUAACUAGCUGUAUGGUGUUAUAAAGAACAGGUGGGUUGUAACUAGCUGUAUGGUGUUAUAAAGAACAGGUGGGUCGUAACUAUCUGUAUGGUGUUAUAAAGAACAGGUGGGUCGUAACUAGCUGUAUGGUGUUAUUAAGAACAGGUGGGUCGUAACUAGCUGUAUGGUGUUAUAAAGAACAGGUGGGUCGUAACUAGCUGUAUGGUGUUAUAAAGAACAGAUGGGUCGUAACUAGCUGUAUGGUUAUGAAGAACCGAUGGGUCGUAACUAGCUGUAUGGUUAUAAAGAACAGGUGGGUCGUAACUAGCUGUAUGGUGUUAUCAAGAACAGAUGGGUCGUAACUAGCUGUAUGGUGUUAUAAAGAACAGGUGGGUCGUAACUAGCUGUAUGGUGUUAUUAAGAACAGGUGGGUCGUAACUAGCUGUAUGGUGUUAUAAAGAACAGGUGGGUCGUAACUAGCUGUAUGGCGACAUCAUUCUGAACAGAUGGGUCGUAACUAGCUGUGUGGCGACACCAUUCUGAACAGGUGGGUCGUAACUUGCUGUAUGGCGACACCAUUCUGAACAGGUGGGUCGUAACUUGCUGUAUGGUGUUAUAAAGAACAGAUGAGUCGUAACUAGCAGUUACAGCUUGG
Long non-coding RNA from Oncorhynchus keta (chum salmon), 1417 nucleotides. RefSeq lists it as uncharacterized. The transcript is spliced from 8 exons. Lineage: Eukaryota; Metazoa; Chordata; Actinopteri; Salmoniformes; Salmonidae. The record is from RefSeq and is a predicted model, not a curated record.